This 548-nucleotide long non-coding RNA is filed under the name Numida meleagris (helmeted guineafowl). RNAcentral's name for it is "lncRNA (ENSNMEG00000018359.1)". The record is from RNAcentral. Lineage: Eukaryota; Metazoa; Chordata; Aves; Galliformes; Numididae.
GUGUAUGCAGUUAUUCCCUGACUCAGUCUAGUUAGCUGAUGCUAAGUGAUACAUCACUUGAGUGGACAUGUGAUGUUGGUGUUGCUUGUAAGUGUAGCUGCAUCAGCUGAGUAACCUUUGGUAAGGAAUGGUGACCGUAGCUGAUGGCAAAAACAUUUUCACCUGGUUUUAGCAUUCACUAAGGACACAGAGAUAUAUGUAAUGAAUCACAGCUUUAAACAGAGGUCCUGCCUGUUCCGGUAGCUGGUGUGCAGUUGUAGAUGCUCAGGGGAAACAUAAAGGCAGUAAAAAGUUAUAAGUUGGCUUGCUACUCUGAAUUCAUUUUUAAGCAAAAUCAUCCUUGGAGAACAAUAGUUACAGAUAUAGGCCAGAAGAACCCUGAAAUUCAUCAAGGUGAAGUUUUGAGGUUUGCUGGAGUUAUUACAGCUGAUUUUGCCCCAGGCACAGUUCACUGGGGAGCUGGUACCUGGGGUUCCACUGAUAUCCCUGUCACUGGCAAGACUUCUAACAGGACACUUAGCAUCUUGUUAAUCCAAUGGCUUCAUUGA